CGGCGACCACCGAGAUCUACACUCUUUCCCUACACGACGCUCUUCCGAUCUAGGUAUGCUGGAGGUAUCAGAAGUGAGAAUGCUGACAUGAGUAGCGAAAAGAAGAGUGAGAGACUCUUCCGCUGAAAGUCCAAGGUUUCCUGCGUAAAGCUAAUCUGCGCAGGGUUAGUCGGUCCCUAAGGCGAGGCAGAGAUGCGUAGUCGAUGGCAAUCAGGUUAAUAUUCCUGAACCGGCCCGGAAGUGACGGAUUGAGUAAAUUGUAAGUUCUUAUUGGAUUGAGCUUGCAGUGAAUCAGUCCCAGGAAAUAGCCCGGGCUAAGACCGUACCCGAAACCGACACAGGUGGACAGGUAGAGAAUACCAAAGCGCUUGAGAGAACUAUGUUGAAGGAACUAGGCAAAAUACUUGCGUAACUUCGGGAUAAGCAAGCCCCAUUUUAAGGCAACUUAGGGUGGGGGGCACAUACUAGGGGGUAGCGACUGUUUACUAAAAACACAGGGCUCUGCUAAAUUGAAAGAUGAAGUAUAGGGUCUGACGCCUGCCCGGUGCUGGAAGGUUAAGGAGAGAUGUGCAAGCAUUGAACUGAAGCCCCAGUAAACGGCGGCCGUAACUAUAACGGUCCUAAGGUAGCGAAAUUCCUUGUCGGGUAAGUUCCGACCUGCACGAAUGGCGUAACGACUUCCCCGCUGUCUCCAACAUAGGCUCAGCGAAAUUGAACUCUGAGUUAAGAUGCUCAGUACCCGCGGUUAGACGGAAAGACCCCGUGAACCUUUACUAUAGCUUUGCAGUGGUAUUAGGUGACAAAUGUGUAGGAUAGGUGGGAUGCUAUGAAGGUAAGACGCUAGUUUUACUGGAGCAGACGUUGAAAUACCACCCUUUUGUUAUUUGAUAUCUAACCUGGCUCCCUGAACGGGAGUAGGGACCCUGCAUGGUGGGUAGUUUGACUGGGGCGGUCGCCUCCCAAAGAGUAACGGAGGCGCGCAAAGGUUGGCUCAGAUUGGUCAGAAAUCAAUCGUCGAGUGCAAUGGCAUAAGCCAGCCUGACUGCGAGAGAGACAUUUCGAGCAGAUACGAAAGUAGGUCAUAGUGAUCCGGUGGUCCCGAGUGGAAGGGCCAUCGCUCAACGGAUAAAAGGUACUCCGGGGAUAACAGGCUGAUUCCGCCCAAGAGUUCACAUCGACGGCGGAGUUUGGCACCUCGAUGUCGGCUC
RNAcentral lists this ribosomal RNA (1208 nucleotides) under human gut metagenome. Its description in RNAcentral is "bacterial LSU rRNA". It matches the Rfam family "Bacterial large subunit ribosomal RNA", at positions 1262 to 2538 of the family's 2925-position model. The record is from RNAcentral.